GACGAACGCUGGCGGCAUGCCUAAUACAUGCAAGUCGAGCGGAGUUGAUAGAAAGCUUGCUUUCUUGAUACUUAGCGGCGGACGGGUGAGUAACACGUAGGCAACCUGCCCUCAAGCUUGGGACAACUACCGGAAACGGUAGCUAAUACCGAAUACUUGUUUUCUUUGCCUGAAGGUAACUGGAAAGACGGAGCAAUCUGUCACUUGGGGAUGGGCCUGCGGCGCAUUAGCUAGUUGGUGAGGUAACGGCUAACCAAGGCGACGAUGCGUAGCCGACCUGAGAGGGUGAUCGGCCACACUGGGACUGAGACACGGCCCAGACUCCUACGGGAGGCAGCAGUAGGGAAUCUUCCGCAAUGGGCGAAAGCCUGACGGAGCAAUGCCGCGUGAGUGAUGAAGGUUUUCGGAUCGUAAAGCUCUGUUGCCAGGGAAGAACGCUUGGGAGAGUAACUGCUCCCAAGGUGACGGUACCUGAGAAGAAAGCCCCGGCUAACUACGUGCCAGCCGCCGCCGUAA
This 516-nucleotide ribosomal RNA is filed under the name uncultured bacterium. RNAcentral's name for it is "partial 16S ribosomal RNA". It matches the Rfam family "Bacterial small subunit ribosomal RNA", at positions 28 to 523 of the family's 1533-position model. The record is from RNAcentral.